UGUCCACCAAAUGUGCUUGCAGCCAUUAUGUUCUACCUUGCCAUAAGCCCAGAAUCAAUGAACCCAAGGACUAUAGACUGAAACUUCUGAAAUUGCCCAGAAGCAAUGGAGCCAAAGAUAUAUGGACUAAAACAUCUGAACCUCCUUGAAGAUCCCUGAGGGCAGGGUCUAUGAACAUUUCAUCACCAUCAUAUCCCUACCGUUCCUGGAACCUAAGAGAAGCUAAAUAACCUUAAUAACAGUAUGAAUGGUCAAACUCUGCUUGAGAUACAGCAGACCUGGAUCUUCAGCCAAAGUAUGUUUAGAAGGACAAUUCUCUGAUCAGGGUCUGCAACCCCAAACUUUGCCUUGCAAAGCC
Castor canadensis (American beaver) is the source of this 358-nucleotide non-coding RNA. NCBI's taxonomy places the organism in Eukaryota, Metazoa, Chordata, Mammalia, Rodentia, Castoridae. The record is from RefSeq and is a predicted model, not a curated record.